AUUGAACGCUGGCGGCAGGCCUAACACAUGCAAGUCGAGCGGAUGAAGGGAGCUUGCUCCUGGAUUCAGCGGCGGACGGGUGAGUAAUGCCUAGGAAUCUGCCUGGUAGUGGGGGAUAACGUCCGGAAACGGGCGCUAAUACCGCAUACGUCCUGAGGGAGAAAGUGGGGGAUCUUCGGACCUCACGCUAUCAGAUGAGCCUAGGUCGGAUUAGCUAGUUGGUGGGGUAAAGGCCUACCAAGGCGACGAUCCGUAACUGGUCUGAGAGGAUGAUCAGUCACACUGGAACUGAGACACGGUCCAGACUCCUACGGGAGGCAGCAGUGGGGAAUAUUGGACAAAGGGCGAAAGCCUGAUCCAGCCAUGCCGCGUGUGUGAAGAAGGUCUUCGGAUUGUAAAGCACUUUAAGUUGGGAGGAAGGGCAGUAAGUUAUUACCUUGCUGUUUUGACGUUACCAACAGAAUAAGCACCGGCUAACUUCGUG
Molecule: ribosomal RNA, 484 nt
Filed under: uncultured bacterium
Lineage: Bacteria
Description: partial 16S ribosomal RNA
Rfam family: Bacterial small subunit ribosomal RNA
Source: RNAcentral